This 827-nucleotide ribosomal RNA is filed under the name uncultured bacterium. RNAcentral's name for it is "bacterial SSU rRNA". The stretch from base 354 to 827 matches the Rfam family "Bacterial small subunit ribosomal RNA", at positions 1 to 740 of the family's 1533-position model. The record is from RNAcentral.
CUGGGCGGGAAUUGCUUUUAACACCAUGGCAAAGUUCGAAACUGGGCAAGCAUCGGGGUUGCUUUGCCACCCUGGUUGGCCGAAGUGGCCGAAACGGGGUGAGGUAAAUAUAUUCGGGAAACGGUAUUCCAAAUAAAUGGGGGGGAUAAACUAGCCCGAAAAGGGUUAGGCUAAAUACCCGCCAUAUCGCCCCUGAAGGGGGGAAAAGGCUGGGGGAUUCGUAAAGAACCUAGGCGCUUGACUGGAGGCGGGCCCGAUGAUUCUGAUUUAGGCUAGGUUGGGUGGCGGUAAAGAGGCCUAACCAAGGGCGACGUAUCCAGUAGGCUGGUACUGAAAGGGAGCGAACCAGCGCACAUCUGGAAGCUGAGAGCAGCGGUACCAGUACUCUCUAGCGGGAAGGCAAGCAGUGGCGGAAUUCUUGGAGCAAUGGGGGGCCAAUCCCUGGAUCACAGGCCAUUUCCGGCGUGAAGUGAAGGAAGGCCCUUCCGGGUCUGUAAAGGCUGCUUUCAGCAACGGGAAGGAAAAUCUCGAUCCUCUAAUACUAGGUUGAGUGCUGACGGUACCCCUUGAUAAGAAGCACCGGCUAACUACGUGCCAGCAGCCGCGGUAAUACGUAGGGUGCGAGCGUUAAUCGGAAUUACUGGGCGUAAAGCGUGCGCAGGCGGUUUUGAAAGUCAGAUGUGAAAUCCCCGGGCUCAACCUGGGAACUGCGUUUGAAACUCCAAAGCUAGAGUAUGGGAGAGGGAGGUAGAAUUCCACGUGUAGCAGUGAAAUGCGUAGAGAUGUGGAGGAAUACCAAUGGCGAAGGCAGCCUCCUGGCCUAAUAC